CUACGGGCUGCACCAGUGAGGAAUUUUGCGCAAUGGGGGGAACCCUGACGCAGCAACGCCGCGUGAGUGAUGAAGGCUUUCGGGUCGUAAAGCUCUGUCAAGUGGGAAGAACCUAUGCAGUGUUAAUAUCACUGUAUACUGACGGUACCACUGAAGGAAGCACCGGCUAACUCCGUGCCAGCAGCCGCGGUAAUACGGGGGGUGCAAGCGUUAUUCAGAAUCAUUGGGCGUAAAGGGCACGUAGGCGGCUUGGUAAGUCAGAUGUGAAAGCCCGGGGCUUAACCCCGGAAGUGCAUUUGAUACUGUCAGGCUUGAGUAUGGGAGAGGGAAGUGGAAUUCCUGGUGUAGAGGUGAAAUUCGUAGAUAUCAGGAGGAACACCGGUGGCGAAGGCGACUUCCUGGACCAAUACUGACGCUGAGGUGCGAAGGCGUGGGUAGCAAACAGGAUUAGAUACCCGCGUAGUC
Molecule: ribosomal RNA, 465 nt
Filed under: uncultured bacterium
Lineage: Bacteria
Description: partial 16S ribosomal RNA
Rfam family: Bacterial small subunit ribosomal RNA
Source: RNAcentral